GAUCCAUCGUGGACCGAGUCACUACUGCUGGGCAUCCCGCACGCGUGACACAUGCACCUGUUACGUUGUGGCCUAUGGCUAGCCUGCAUGUGCCUACUUGGGCCAUGAGCCUGCGGCUGGCCCAUGCAUGCCUGCACUGUCGGGCCUGGCCUGCACCCCCACUAGCCUCUGCCAGCCCAUGGGCCUCUCCGACGGCCCAUGGG
This 203-nucleotide long non-coding RNA is filed under the name Elaeis guineensis (African oil palm). Its description in RNAcentral is "long non-coding RNA (EGUI_LNC061520)". The record is from RNAcentral. Lineage: Eukaryota; Viridiplantae; Streptophyta; Magnoliopsida; Arecales; Arecaceae.